CAAGUGCUUUCUUCAUUCUAAAACAUUUGUCAGAAAAAUAAAUGUAUCUAGACAUAUUUUAGUUCUAGAUACAUCCAUAUUUAUGUACUUUUGUGACAAGUAAUUCCAGAUGAAGGGAGUAUUUG
Non-coding RNA from Triticum aestivum (bread wheat), 125 nucleotides. The record is from Rfam. Lineage: Eukaryota; Viridiplantae; Streptophyta; Magnoliopsida; Poales; Poaceae.